This 460-nucleotide ribosomal RNA is filed under the name uncultured bacterium. RNAcentral describes it as "partial 16S ribosomal RNA". It matches the Rfam family "Bacterial small subunit ribosomal RNA", at positions 338 to 795 of the family's 1533-position model. The record is from RNAcentral.
CCUACGGGAGGCAGCAGUGAGGAAUAUUGGUCAAUGGGCGGAAGCCUGAACCAGCCAAGUAGCGUGCAGGAUGACGGCCCUACGGGUUGUAAACUGCUUUUAUACGGGAAUAACGCGCCUUACGUGUAGGGCUUUGCAUGUACCGUAUGAAUAAGGACCGGCUAAUUCCGUGCCAGACGCCGCGGUAAUACGGAAGGUCCGGGCGUUAUCCGGAUUUAGUGGGUUUAAAGGGAGCGUAGGCCGGAUGUCAAGCGUGCUGUGAAAUGUCCGGGCUCAACCCGGGCCUGGCAGCGCGAACUGGCGUGCUUGAGUGGGCGGAAAGCAGGCGGAAUGCGUAGUGUAGCGGUGAAAUGCUUAGAUAUGACGAAGAACCCCGAUUGCGAAGGCAGCUUGCUGCAGCGGAACUGACGCUGAUGCUCGAAAGCGCGGGUAUCGAACAGGAUUAGAUACCCUGGUAGUC